Molecule: ribosomal RNA, 477 nt
Filed under: uncultured bacterium
Lineage: Bacteria
Description: bacterial SSU rRNA
Rfam family: Bacterial small subunit ribosomal RNA
Source: RNAcentral
GAACGCUGGCGGCGUGCUUAACACAUGCAAGUCGAACGAGAAUCUACGGAAUGCGAUUUCGGUCAAGUGAAGUAGAGGACAGUGGCGAACGGGUGAGUAACGCGUGAAGAACCUGCCUUUCAGUGGGGGACAACAGUUGGAAACGACUGCUAAUACCGCAUAAUGUUAUUUGAGGGCAUCCUCGGAUAGCCAAAGAUUUAUUGCUGAAAGAUGGCUUCGCGUCUGAUUAGCUAGAUGGCGGGGUAACGGCCCACCAUGGCGACGAUCAGUAGCCGGUCUGAGAGGAUGAACGGCCACAUUGGGACUGAGAUACGGCCCAGACUCCUACGGGAGGCAGCAGUGGGGAAUAUUGGGCAAUGGGCGAAACCCUGACCCAGCAACGCCGCGUGAAGGAAGAAGGCUUUCGGGUUGUAAACUUCUUUUACCAGGGACGAAGACGUGACGGUACCUGGAGAAAAAGCCACGGCUAACUACGUG